Molecule: ribosomal RNA, 444 nt
Filed under: uncultured bacterium
Lineage: Bacteria
Description: bacterial SSU rRNA
Rfam family: Bacterial small subunit ribosomal RNA
Source: RNAcentral
UCGAACGAGACAAAAGAGAAGUGCUUGCACGGAUCUUUUAGAAAGUGGCGAACGGGUGAGUAACGCGUGGGUAACCUACCCUAUGGAAAGGAAUAGCCUCGGGAAACUGGGAGUAAUGCCUUAUAAGAUAUAUUUGUCGCAUGGCAGAUGUAUUAAACGCUCCGGUGCCAUAGGAUGGACCCGCGUCCCAUUAGCUAGUUGGUGAGAUAACAGCUCACCAAGGCGACGAUGGGUAACCGGUCUGAGAGGGCGAACGGUCACACUGGAACUGAGACACGGUCCAGACUCCUACGGGAGGCAGCAGUGGGGAAUAUUGCGCAAUGGGGGAAACCCUGACGCAGCAAUACCGCGUGAGUGAAGAAGGUUUUCGGAUCGUAAAGCUCUGUUAUUGGGGAAGAAAAAAAGACGGUACCCAAGAAGAAAGUCCCGGCUAACUACGUGCCA